GAAUAUUGAAAGGGGAGCUGGAAAAUAAUCCGGCUGAGAUAAGUAUGUUUUACUUAAAACCCAUAUACCUGAUCUGGGUAAUGCCAGCGUAGGAAUUUUAUUUUGUCAUACU
The sequence is a regulatory RNA element, 112 nucleotides long. It matches the Rfam family "TPP riboswitch aptamer (THI element)". Rfam says of the family: Vitamin B(1) in its active form thiamin pyrophosphate (TPP) is an essential coenzyme that is synthesised by coupling of pyrimidine and thiazole moieties in bacteria. The previously detected thiamin-regulatory element, thi box was extended, resulting in a new, highly conserved RNA secondary structure, the THI element, which is widely distributed in eubacteria and also occurs in some archaea. The record is from Rfam.